RNAcentral lists this ribosomal RNA (2034 nucleotides) under Triticum aestivum (bread wheat). Its description in RNAcentral is "partial small subunit ribosomal RNA". Lineage: Eukaryota; Viridiplantae; Streptophyta; Magnoliopsida; Poales; Poaceae. The record is from RNAcentral.
AUGCGCGCGGAUCGCGUCAUGGCGGAGGGGGCCAAGCGGAUCGACCUGGCCGCGCCGCUGCGCUCGGCGCGCCUGCCAUACCACAAGGCCGACCUCAACUCCGGCCCCGUCCGCCACCCCGGCGCCGUGCCCUUCGUCUGGGAGCAGAGCCCCGGCCAGCCCAAGAGCGUCCGCACCCGCCGCCCGCCUCCGUCCUCGCCCUCGCAGCCGCGCCCGGAGGACAACGGCGCCAACCCUUACCAUGACGCCCUGGGCGAGUGCGAGCGCGAUCGCGCACUGCCAAACGGCGCCGCCCCCGCCCCCGCCGCCGUGCCCCGAACUGGUGCCGCGGAGCGUGAGGCGGAGAGGGCGGAGGUCGAGCCGAGGAAGGAAGCCACGACGCCGGACGUGCUGUCCGUGGCCGAUGUGCUGCGGAAGGAGGAGGAGGACGUCGGCGAUGACGACGAGAGGUUCUCGGACGCGCUGGACACGCUCUCCCGCACAGAGUCCUUCACCGUGAACUGCAGUGUCAGCGGUCUCAGCGGCGUGCCGGACCGCCCCGCGGGCGCGGCCGCCACCAGCGCCGAGCCCGGCGCCCGCGGCUUCAUGAUGGACCGCUUCCUGCCGGCCGCGCAGGCGGUGGCCGUGGGCUCCCCGCAGUACACCUUCCGCAAGGCCAGUGUAGCUGGCUCCACCGGCAACUCUGCCCGCGAGCAUGCGCAUGCCGCUGCGGCCAAUUGGAGGAUGGGCAGCGAUGAUGAUCGCGUCAGGAGAACGCCUGUGCAGCUCCCUUACCAGCAUCUGCCUCCCAAUUAUUUGUCUUGCAACUAUCCCAGACGCGAUGAUCAUGAAGAGGAGGAGGAGGAAGAGGAUGACGAUGACUUCGACGUACAUAGUACCCGAGGUUUUGCAUCCAAGGGGUGUGGUUUGCUCCCUGGUCUGUGUGUCAAAACCUCCUUGUUGCUACUGAAUCCAAUGCCUAUAAUGAAGGGUGGCAAGGCGCGUCAGGGAGGGAGAGGCAGGGGAUUGGCAUCCAAAGGCAGGGGCCAGAAGGCACCGAGCCCUCUUGCCCGGAGCUCACAACGCAAGAAUCUUGGCUGUGAUUCUAAUGGGCAAUACUGGGAGGAAGUUUAUAAGCACAAGUUGGAACAGAAGUACAUUAACCAAGGAGAGGAUAGGAGGAGCAAGCUGACAAGUGAGUCGAACCAUCUGACAUUCUGGAGUGACUCUCAAACUGGCGAUGGGUCUUCACCAUUCCGCCACUCCAUAGGUGGUGGCAUGUCUCCCUACCGCCGCGACGUUGCCUUGUCACCAUCACGUAAAGCGAAUGGGUCACUUGAAGUAAGAGAUAAAGAUGAGAAAAUGAGUAGAAGCAAUGGCUCUAGCUCACUUGGAAUAGACCAUGAUCAUGGCUCGUUGCUUGGAUCAGAUCACAGUAGUUUGAAGGGAUCAAGCUCCAUGAGCUCAGGGGUCGAUAGAACAUUGCAUGAAGAUUCAAUGGAUCACCGUUCAGGUAUUGAUUCAGAAGCUAGUCAGUUGACCCUGCCAUUGGAUCCAAAGGCAUCUUUGAAUUCAGGGUGUGAUGUUCAACAUGGAGGACACCAGAUAGUCAGAAGUAACAGCAUAGUGGAAGUUCAAGACAAUGAUAUGUUGACAAAAACAAUCGCCAAAGUGCCAGAAUCCAUUUCAUUAAUACCUUCCGGAAACGCAGGAUCAGUAAAACUAGAUGAUAGAAAAACUCAUGAUAGUAGUCAGGAUGUUCCAGUACAUUCGGAAGAUAAUAUCGCCGUCAAGAAGGAAAGUAUGCCUUUGCAAUUUCUAAUGCCGUUACCUGUCCCAAAGUCGCCUUCAGAUUCUUGGCUUUCUCGCAAUUUGCCAUCUGUGAAGAAUAAACCACCUGCACCAUCUUUUCUUGGAAUCCAAGUACAGUCGAAGAAACAAGCUCCCUGGGCCUCCACACAUCCAAAGGAGAAUGAUCUUAAACCUCCCAGGACACGCCAAAUAAGAUUUGCAGAUGUGGUGGAGAGGCCUUAUUAUCUGGAUACUGAGAUAUGA